AACCCUAGAAACUGCUGCCUCGUUUUGCCAAAAAUCUGAGUUUUUGAUAAAGCGUUCCACGUUUUACAAGUAGAUCGCACGGCACUCAGAGAUGUUAAUGGAACCCUAGAGAGUAUCUCUUCUACCAAAGCCACCGGAAGAUCAGAGAUUGUCCUCAUGU
Molecule: small RNA, 160 nt
Filed under: Arabidopsis thaliana (thale cress)
Lineage: Eukaryota; Viridiplantae; Streptophyta; Magnoliopsida; Brassicales; Brassicaceae
Description: ATSL066430
Source: RNAcentral